ACGAUGUGAGAGAAGCCCGAUUUUCAAGUUCUCGAAGAAAGGAAGAAACAAAGGGACAAAGGUGUGCGAAGUAAAUUUUAAACGAUAUUUCGUGGCGGUCGUCGUCAACUAAAGUCACCAGGAAUUCAAGUGCGGAACUUUGCGGAUGUGUAUGAGAACGCCCGCUGUCAUACCGCCGGCACGAUUGCGCAUGCGCCUGGCUUACACUUGACGGGCUCAAAAAAUCAAUGACCCCACUCAGUCGUGGGUCCGUUUGCAUCUUUCUCUCAACGAGCUAGGAAGACCGGGAAUAAAAUCAGAAAUCGGUUCGAGGAAACGCGCUGAACGUCGAUGAUCGCAGAAUCUAGCGGGCAACUGUGACGAAAAUUUCAGGUAGGAGUGGGAAAGAAGCGAUGGAGGAAAAUGGACGGUAAGGGUGCAGCCUCGGUGGCGGCGCUGGUGUAUACCGGCCGAAUAGCGGUUCGGUGAAACCAGCCGAGCGACCUCGUCUCGUUUCGGCUCGCCGCGUUAGUUCGUGUUCUCUCGCAGCACACGACGGACGUAUACUAUUCCGCGACGGGUCUCGUGUUCUCUACUCAAGGGAGAAAAAAAAGCUAAACUGUUAUACGCUACCGAAUCAGCGUGGAACACGUAAUUCAGUGAUUUACGUGUAAACGAAAAAACUGUGUCGCAAGUUGAGAAAGAGAGCGGAACGCGUGUCUCGCGAGAACGACACACGAGGUCGUAAGUGCUUCGACCGGCGAUAAAGUUUCGUUGUGACUUGUGUAAGGAAAGAAAAAAAAAAAAAAAAGAAAGGAGAAAAGUGGUGAACCAAAGGAAUGUGCGAAUAUAUAUCGUUCGCGUCGUGUAUAACAGUACCAGGCACGGUUUAACGGCGAGAAAAAGUCCGGUAAUCGGAUCGAUUUUAGGUAGAACGCGGUUCGGUGAAUUGUCAGGGGAGAGUAUAUACCUCUACCAUCGUAGCCGUCGUCGCGGUGCACCGUCCAUCCACCUUUCGCGUUGCCGCGAGUGCACGGGAUAAAAUGGCGCUUGCUUUCGUCCGUAUACCUCUAUCGACCAUGACAAACGAUUUAACGACGGAAUCGCGUCGACGCCAGUCACGACGUUUUUGAGCAGCCGAACGUUUCGCGGCAUUGCUUCCCCUCUUCGCCCCACCCUCUUGCCCCGUUUCGAUCGUUUUAACGCCUUUUUCUCUACGAAUCGAAGCGCUAACGUCACCGCCAGCCACGGGAUCGCGAUUCGAGGAAGACGACAAUUUACAACGAAGGAAGAAACAAUCUCGUACACCCGCGGCGUCCUUGGACUGGAAUUUCGAAAACAACAAGCGUCGAGCGACACUCCUCGUUCGUGUUACGACGAGCCAGCCCGUGGAGCGUGGAGCGCGCGUCUAUGAGAAAAUUCAGGCGUUGACGGGAAGAAGAGACGAAAACCAGGAGGAGAAAAGUACAAAAAAGAAGGAGAAGAAAAAAAAAAUACAGAGAGGCAGAGGAAAGAGGAAAUGCGACGAAUCUCGGCUCGUCGUUAAGGGAAGCUGCUUUUUAUAAGUGAGAGGAAAGGGGGGCGGGGGGGAAAUCGAACGGGAUAUUCGCGGCGGUCGUGCAAGAGCGGUACCUGACUACUUCCGGUACGAUCGCGAGUGGUAAAUGCGGCCAAGUCCACGUCCGUCGUGUGUUUCGUGCAACCGAGAGCCUAUCAAUCGCGAAAAACCCCAGAUCUACAACGAGCUUUCAACGAGCGGCCUAAUCGCUGUUAAUGGCAUAGAAGGUAUUCGGUGGCGAUCGUUUCUUUUUUCAAGAGAGAAGGAGGAAGAAAGUCGACUGGCGAGUACAGCGAGCGACAGUAACUCGUGGACGGACAAUAACGAAGAGGAGGGUGAAGAGGAAGAAGGGGUGGUGCGCGCUUUAUUCGAGAAGCGAAGCUACUUUUCGGAAGGGUAAGAAACGCCGGUGGGCUGCACGGCACAUCUGGAAGGGUUGCGCGACCUGGAGCAGGAGCAAGAGGAAGAGGAGGCAGGAGGAGGAGGAGGAGGUGGAGGAGAAGGAGGAGGUGGUUGUAGCGUUGAAGCUGGAGGAGUCGGGAGGCUACGAGGGUGGUUGCACGUCGUCGUCGCGUGACGUGCGGAAAGAGCAGACGAAGCGUGGAGGAGGCAUGAGGAGGAGAGAGUGACGACGCUGCCGGUGCUGCAGCCUCGCACAGAUCGUGAGAGGACCGGCGGCCCCACGGUGGGGCUACGAUAAGAAUGGCCCCCUUCAAUAUGGCGGGCGUAGCAGGCCUUCUAGCCACCUGCGCCGCCGCUGCUGCUUCCGCUGCCCACCUUCUGCCGUUGCUGCUGUUGCUGAUCUGCCCGCGAGGGACCCACGCGGAACAAGUUGUUCUCUUGGACACGACACAAGAGGAGAAGCUCGAGUGGACAAAGUAUCCGUUCGGCGCGGAAGCUAACACCCCAGGGUGGGUGGAAGAGUCGUUCACGAACUUCGACAAGGGCAUCAAUUGGCGGAGUUACGUCGUCUGCGACGUAGCGUACAACAACGUGAACAAUUGGCUAUGGACGCCGUUCAUCGAGAGGGGACCGGCGAACCGCAUGUACAUAGAAAUACAAUUCACGACUCGUGACUGCUCGUUGUUCCCCGGAAACGCGCUCAGUUGCAAAGAAACUUUCAGUCUACUUUACUACGAGUUCGACGUGGCUACCAAGGAACCGCCACCGUGGGAAACGGAUAGUUACAAGUUGAUCGGACGCAUCGCCGCUGGCGAGGGAAGGUUCAACACUAACACCGGGGUGGUGAUAAACACGGAGGUCAAGUCCAUUCCAGUGACGAAGAAGGGCGUGUACUUCGCGUUCCGCGACCAGGGAGCCUGCAUCUCCAUCUUGGCCAUUAAAGUUUACUACAUCAGCUGUCCGGAGAUCUCUGUGAACUUCGCACACUUCCCGGCAACGCCAACGGGUCGCGAAGUCGCGUUGAUCGAACAAACGAUCGGCACUUGCGUGGACAACGCCGUGGUCAUCGAACAGCCAACCUUCCUCUGCAAAGGAGAUGGCAAAUGGUACCUGCCUAACGGUGGAUGCCACUGCAAGCCUGGCUAUCAGGCUGACGUCGAGAAGCAAGCGUGCACCGAGUGCGCGAUCGGUAAAUUCAAACACGAAGCUGGGUCGCACAGUUGCGAAGCUUGUCCGGCUCACAGCAAAUCCUCCGAUUACGGAUUCACCGAGUGUCGAUGCAACGCCGGUUAUUUCAGGGCCGAGAAAGAUCCGAAGAAAAUGCCUUGUACACAACCACCGUCGGCGCCACAAAAUUUGACGGUGAACUUCGUUGACCAGUCUACUGUGAUUCUGUCGUGGAAUGCGCCGCACAUGCUGGGCGGCAGAACAGAUACGACUUACAGGGUGGUCUGCGAUGCCUGUAGUAUGGGCGUCAAAUACAUUCCCAACACCGAAGUUUUCAACGAUACGAAGAUCACGAUAACGGGUCUAAACGCGGUGACCACGUAUCGAUUCCAAGUAUUUGCCGAGAACGGUGUAUCGGCGUUGGCUGGAAAAUCCGAGUACGUGGACAUCACCGUCACCACAGAAGCUAGCGUACCUAGUUUGGUGAGCAACGUCAGGAUUACCAGCGUGAAGAGUUCGGAACUGAGCAUUAGUUGGGACGCUCCGGUAACCGAGGUCGGUGGAGACAGCGAUCUGGUCGAAAGAUACGAAGUGAGGUGUUAUCCGCGAUACGACGAUGCUACCAACGCUACGGUUAUACAAACUUCCGAGUUAUCCGCCACGUUCAAGGGCCUAAAACCAUCGACGGACUACGCGAUACAAGUACGAGCGAAGACUACGCGAGGCUGGGGCGAAUAUACGCCCAUAGUUUAUAAAAAGACGCCUCAUGCUAUGGGACUAGACUACGUCGGAGAAGACGACAAUAUGCAAGUAAGGAUCAUAGCAGGAGCUAUCGUUGCCGUGGUAGUCCUUCUGGUGAUCAUCAUUAUCAUGACCGUUCUGAUUUUGAGAAGCAGGGCCUCGGACGAAUGCAACAAGAAACAGCCCAGCGACUGCGAUACCCUGGAGUAUAGAAACGGCGAAGGACUAGUUGUGACCUACAUGACCACGCCGCUGUUCACACCUGCAGUGGGAGUUGCUGCCGCGAGUGCAGGAGGUGCUGGUGGCGGAGGUGCAAGGAGUUACGUCGAUCCUCAUACUUACGAAGAUCCGAAUCAAGCUGUGAGAGAAUUCGCCCGAGAAAUCGACGCAGGAUACAUUACGAUAGAAGCUAUCAUAGGUGGUGGAGAAUUUGGCGACGUUUGUCGAGGAAAAUUAAAACUACCGCCAGACGGUCGAACGGAGAUCGACGUGGCGAUCAAGACUUUGAAACCAGGCUCCGCGGACAAAGCUCGCAACGACUUCCUCACUGAAGCCUCCAUCAUGGGUCAGUUCGAGCAUCCGAACGUGAUAUUCCUGCAAGGUGUCGUAACCAAGAGCAAUCCGGUGAUGAUCAUCACGGAGUUCAUGGAGAACGGUAGCCUGGACACUUUUCUGCGUGCGAACGACGGCAAGUUCCAGGUGCUGCAGCUUGUAGGCAUGCUUCGCGGUAUCGCGAGCGGCAUGCAGUAUCUUGCUGAAAUGAACUACGUACAUCGAGAUCUCGCGGCGAGGAACGUGCUCGUGAAUGCUGCCCUCGUCUGCAAGAUCGCCGAUUUCGGGCUUAGCCGGGAGAUCGAAAGCGCCACGGAAGGAGCGUACACGACCAGGGGUGGAAAGAUCCCGGUACGAUGGACAGCUCCGGAAGCGAUAGCGUUCCGAAAGUUCACCAGCGCUUCCGACGUAUGGAGCAUGGGCAUCGUUUGUUGGGAGGUGAUGUCCUACGGCGAAAGACCGUAUUGGAACUGGUCUAAUCAGGAUGUGAUAAAGUCGAUCGAGAAAGGAUACAGGCUUCCAGCACCGAUGGAUUGUCCGGAAGCGAUCUAUCAGCUGAUGCUCGAUUGCUGGCAAAAGGAACGAACCCAUCGUCCUACCUUUGCCAAUCUCACUCAAACCUUGGACAAAUUGAUACGAAGCCCGGACACGCUGCGGAAGAUCGCCCAGAACAGAGAAUUGACAGAACGUACCGGAAACGCAAGAAUGCGAAUUCUUCGUCCAUUCUGUCAACCUGUCAGAGGGUUAACAACGAUCAACGACAAAGUCUUUACGUCUACAGUUCUUUUUUUUCCUCGCAGCGUCUCCGUUUGGGGGGGUCAGAGCUCCGCGAUCGUCGUUUCGUCGAAAGCUGAAGCGAAAUUCGUACAAUGAAAAAGUUGCCGAAGAGUCGGAGCAAGACCUGCUUGUUUCUUUCCGUGCAAACAACGAUCGAACUUGUACGCGUCCCAGCUAGUCGAACGACAACCGGGUCCAACGGAUUGGCUUUUUUCGUCCGUCGACGUUCGUCGAAGAAACGCUCGCGCAGUUUUUGCUGAACGUUGAACGAUGCACGGGGACGCUUCUCUCCUUAAGCGGAAUAAUCGCGGAUAGGAUGAUUUUCGCGCGUUUCUCUCUACCGUAGGGAAUCGCUCUCUCGUAAAGGAAACAUUUAGGUUGUCAAUUGUGUUGCGAGCGUAUUUAGACGUAGGUAAAAAAAAAAAAACGGUAGCGAAUUAGUCGUCGUAGAGGAAAGAUUUUCACGGUUUUCGAAUUAUACGAGACUCAUUAUCGUCAGCAAAGCAAUCUACGAUACGUAUACUUAUUUAUAAAGAGAAAAGUGUUUUUUAUCGAUGUGAUGUUGGAGCGACCGCCAGGCGCGAUGAAUUUUAUCCAUCUUAGCUGCCACGUAGAGAUCGCAUAAAGAAUAUUUAUGGUUCUAGUUAGAGUGAUUUAAAUGGGAAAUUUUAUCAGAGUAUAUACAUAUAUACAUACAUAUAUAUGUACCCCGCAGUUUUUUUGGUAGAGAUAUAACGAGAAUUUAUAGAGGACGAAUCGAAGCAACGAAUAGCAAUAUACGUAGAAUGAGUUUAAGCUGGGAAAGCUUAGGGACGGGCAAAGAGGAUUUUAACCGCGAGACGCGUUGUCAUAGUCUUUCAGAUGUUUUUCUAAUUCUUGAUAUACGUAAUGUGUGUAUAUAUAUAUAUAUAUAUAUAUAUAUAUAUAUAUCUCACAGGAGUAUACGUAAACAUAUACAUAUAUCGUAAAGAAGCGGAUAUAUAUAUAUAUAUAUAUAUAUAUAUAUAUAUAUAUAUCGAUAUAGUAUUUAUUAACGUCACGACUUUUACCGCAACAAAAAGAGGAAACUGCAAAGACUUAUUAGCAUUUAAUCACGCGAGCUACCAUUCGACCAGAUUAGAAUAGUAUUUUUCUACUUGAAAGUCGAGAAAAGUCAAGGAAAACCGUACCGAGAAAUUGUACGCGAUAUCCCAGGUUGUUUUCACGCCGGGACGAUCGAUUCUUGCGAGGAUACGCGCGUCGCGUCUACGUUAUAGCGAAAAAUCUGGAGGAAAGGUCGAUCAUAGCGGAACGCGUCGCGACACACCAUUACAGGAAAAAUGGAACGGAAGCAAGAUAGAACGGGACGACGAACGAAGAGGGUGGUUAAGAUUUCGCUGCUUCGAAGUUUCGCGGAUUCGCGAACGAUUUUUCUUUAUCGAGACGAGAAUCAAAAUGGACAAUCAGCUUAGACGCGUUACGCCCGCGGAAAUCGAAUCGAUGCGCGCUAAUUACCUUAGAGUUUACGCUGACAAUCGCGAUAAACGAGCUUGGCGCGAGCACACGAUCGCACACUUGCGCAAACACACUAUACAGCGGUACACUGGAGAGAAAUCAGGGCAGAGAUGAGACGAGAAAACGUACGCGAUACACAUAAACACACACAGGCAAACCAAACACACGUACAAGCAAACACACGCCAAAGUGUGUGACCUCGAUCGCACUAACAAAUGCUAACAAUUGUCAGAAUCAGGGAAAGGGGUGCUCCACCCCCACCCCCACCCGCCUCGUCGACAUCCUCCAACGUGCAUUUGAGGAAAAGGGGCACCAAUCCACUGGCGCCGGACGCGGUGGACUUGACGCAGCUGACCUCGGUCAGCGAGUGGCUGGCUU
This is an RNA transcript of Bombus huntii, 7048 nucleotides long. It is a transcript of the gene named ephrin type-B receptor 1-B, with no coding region annotated. The transcript has 16 exons. NCBI's taxonomy places the organism in Eukaryota, Metazoa, Arthropoda, Insecta, Hymenoptera, Apidae. The record is from RefSeq and is a predicted model, not a curated record.